RNAcentral lists this long non-coding RNA (243 nucleotides) under Lathyrus oleraceus (garden pea). Its description in RNAcentral is "Pisum sativum (pea) long non-coding RNA (PSAT_LNC024983)". The record is from RNAcentral. Lineage: Eukaryota; Viridiplantae; Streptophyta; Magnoliopsida; Fabales; Fabaceae.
GCAUUUCACAUUUGUCAAAAUUAGUUCAGUAUGUAUCGAUCCAUCUGUCGUUUGUAUCGAUACAUAGAUCCUUUAAAAACAAAAAUGCGUGACAUGGAUCGAUCCAUGCCCAUAUGCAUCGACACAUACUGAUUGUUUUUGGAUUAAAUGCAUUUUAUUUCACUCAUGGAUCGACACAUCAGCAACUCUCAUCACAUCCUUCACAAACUUGGUAUCAGCUGUUCCCAUACCUCCCAAAACCUG